Molecule: long non-coding RNA, 934 nt
Organism: Felis catus (domestic cat)
Lineage: Eukaryota; Metazoa; Chordata; Mammalia; Carnivora; Felidae
Exons: 6
Source: RefSeq, a predicted model, not a curated record
CUGACACAUGAUGAAAGUAAACACAGAAUAUUAAGACAUGGAACUGGAUUUCAAGAUGAGCGGUCUCCAUGGAAGAAGACGCCACAGCAUCCUAUGAAAUUUUGUUUUAAGGUUUAAGGUUACCUUCAUUAUUGUCAAGAACACGCUUCCAUCUCUGGCUCUGCAGCAUGAACACUCUUCCAGUUAAGUGAAUAUAGUUGCUUGAGAAAAAUCACCGGGACUUCAAGACGAUAUUCGCAGUCUCCUGAAAACAAAGUACUCUAUGAGUAGGCAGAGUUUAGACAAUGACAACAUGCCAGGAGGCAACAUUUAUCUGGCAUGCAUCUUUAAGCCCAUCCCAAGAACUCUGGCUGGUGAUUUUGUAAAGCAAAAGAUUUAGGGAGCCACUGCCUGGAUGCACUUGGGUUCCCUGGAAAACAUUAAAGAUAAUCCUGCAUGAAAGGAGGGAUGAGCCAGCCUCCCUAAAUCAUCAUGAUCAAUGAGGGUGUCACCUUCAAAAUUCAUUUCAAUUUUUCUGAAUUACCUGUAGCCAAGAAGAAUAAAUUUCGAUAAAAGCCCUGAUCAUUUUUGUUACGAUCUUUUGGACCCUCUCCAAGUAAUCUGAACGUCUGUGCAAACUAGAGAGUCACUGUGACAAAUCCCCUUGUGCACCUGAGCCUAACGAGAUCCCUGGAAAGAAGAGAAGUUACGUGUAAUGAUAGAAUAAGAAUACAAUAGUCUUCUCUACACUAAAACAUUACCAAGCAAAGAAAGACAUUAUGACCCAGGAGAUGGAGAACAAAGGAGAAAGUACCUAAAGGGGCUUUGUGUGCUGAAAACCAACCUCUGCUUUUUAAAAUGCUUUGCAGGGCGCCUGGGUGGCUCAGUUGCUUAAGGGUCGGACUCUUGACUUCAGUUCAUUCAGGUCAUGGUCUCGCGGUUUGUGACUUCGAAC